UUGCCUGCACCUGCCGGCGACCGGCGCACGGGUGAGUAACACGUAUGGAACCUGCCCGCCACAGGGGAUAACCCGGGGAAACCCGGCCUAAUACCCCAUGCAGCCCGGACCGGGCAUCCGGUCCGGGCGAAAGGAGGAAUCCGGUGGCGGCUGGGCAUGCGGCGCAUUAGCUUGACGGCGGGGUAACGGCCCACCGUGGCGACGAUGCGUAGGGGUUCUGAGAGGAAGGCCCCCCACACUGGAACUGAGACACGGUCCAGACUCCUACGGAAGGCAGCAG
Molecule: ribosomal RNA, 280 nt
Filed under: uncultured bacterium
Lineage: Bacteria
Description: partial 16S ribosomal RNA
Rfam family: Bacterial small subunit ribosomal RNA
Source: RNAcentral